GGAAACAAAGUACAAGAGGUAAAAAUUUCAUUCAUAGUCUGCUGCAUCUGCAUAACUGGAUUACUUGUGCUCUCAUUACUCUUCCCCUUCAUUCAGAGAUGAAAUUUUCAAAUUGGAAGUUCAUCUGUCUUUUCAUAAAUAGUUGAAAGCAUUUAGACCUCAUCUCUUGAUAUGAAAUUAUCUUUAAUUUGACUUCAAUACUAAAACCAUUUUAAAUUCUACACUUUUUAUAUUGUUUCUAAGCCCUUGACUUUCACCUCAUAAGAAGCUUGCAUUGAACUCAUUAACAAAAAAAAUCAUAUAGUGCUUGUGCUUUUCCCUCAGAAAACAAAGGUCUAUUGCACAAGAACAUUAACUGUUAACAGCUUAAAGAAUUUAGAUAAUGAUGAUAAAUCCUUUAUUUGAAGCAGGUGAUAGUUGAAGCAUCAUUG
This 431-nucleotide unclassified non-coding RNA is filed under the name Hevea brasiliensis (rubber tree). The record is from RNAcentral. Lineage: Eukaryota; Viridiplantae; Streptophyta; Magnoliopsida; Malpighiales; Euphorbiaceae.